This 496-nucleotide ribosomal RNA is filed under the name uncultured bacterium. RNAcentral describes it as "partial 16S ribosomal RNA". It matches the Rfam family "Bacterial small subunit ribosomal RNA", at positions 28 to 507 of the family's 1533-position model. The record is from RNAcentral.
GAUGAACGCUGGCGGCGUGCCUAAUACAUGCAAGUCGAGCGAACGGACGAGAAGCUUGCUUCUCUGAUGUUAGCGGCGGACGGGUGAGUAACACGUGGAUAACCUACCUAUAAGACUGGGAUAACUUCGGGAAACCGGAGCUAAUACCGGAUGAUAUUUUGAACCGCAUGGUUCAAAAGUGAAAGACGGUCUUGCUGUCACUUAUAGAUGGAUCCGCGCUGCAUUAGCUAGUUGGUAAGGUAACGGCUUACCAAGGCAACGAUGCAUAGCCGACCUGAGAGGGUGAUCGGCCACACGGGAACUGAGCCACGGUCCAGACUCCUACGGGAGGCAGCGUAGGGAAUCUUCCGCAAUGGGCGAAAGCCUGACGGAGCAACGCCGCGUGAGUGAUGAAGGUCUUCGGAUCGUAAAACUCUGUUAUUAGGGAAGAACAUAUGUGUAAGUAACUGUGCACAUCUUGACGUUACCUAAUCAGAAAGCCACGGCUAACUACGUG